Molecule: long non-coding RNA, 263 nt
Organism: Onychostoma macrolepis
Lineage: Eukaryota; Metazoa; Chordata; Actinopteri; Cypriniformes; Cyprinidae
Exons: 3
Source: RefSeq, a predicted model, not a curated record
CUCAGCUGAUCGUACUUUCGGCGUUUCGUUGCGUUGCACGAGGGGAUUCAUCAUUGUUGCUGUUUUACCAGUGUUUCUCACAGUCACCAGAUUGGGAUAUUGCAUGUGGGGAACGGAUGGGCUGAUGCUGAGAACAGACUUGGAGUCCUUUUGAUGGAUGGGAGCACUGGUUCUGCCCUCUCUGUAAUGCCCGUCAGCCAGUUUCCACAUGAUAUAGACAUCGCCAAGGUUAGGGCUGGUGACCUCACACACAUGAGAGACAG